UGCAUCACGGGGCGCAGCAGUGGGGAAUAUUGCACAAUGGGGGAAACCCUGAUGCAGCAACGCCGCGUGAAGGAAGACGGUUUUCGGAUUGUAAACUUCUGUUCUUAGUGAAGAAAAAUGACGGUAGCUCAGGAGCAAGCCACGGCUAACUACGUGCCAGCAGCCGCGGUAAUACGUAGGUGGCAAGCGUUGUCCGGAAUUACUGGGUGUAAAGGGAGCACAGGCGGGAAGCCAAGUCAGCUGUGAAAACUACGGGCUUAACUUGUAGACUGCAGUUGAAAAUGGUUUUCUUGAGUGAAGUAGAG
RNAcentral lists this ribosomal RNA (305 nucleotides) under uncultured bacterium. RNAcentral describes it as "bacterial SSU rRNA". It matches the Rfam family "Bacterial small subunit ribosomal RNA", at positions 335 to 656 of the family's 1533-position model. The record is from RNAcentral.